GCCUGAAUAGCUCAGUUGGUUAGAGCGCGGUGCUAGUAAUGCCAAGGUGGCAGGUUCGAUCCCUGUAUGGGACA
Non-coding RNA from Podarcis lilfordi (Lilford's wall lizard), 74 nucleotides. NCBI's taxonomy places the organism in Eukaryota, Metazoa, Chordata, Lepidosauria, Squamata, Lacertidae. The record is from the annotation of a GenBank genome assembly.